AGGGGGGUAGCCUCAAGUUUACGCUUUCGCUUCAUAAGCGGAAGUUCAUGGGUUCAAUUCCCAGCCCCUCCA
RNAcentral lists this transfer RNA (72 nucleotides) under Aedes aegypti (yellow fever mosquito). It matches the Rfam family "tRNA". From Rfam's summary of the family: Transfer RNA (tRNA) molecules are approximately 80 nucleotides in length. Their secondary structure includes four short double-helical elements and three loops (D, anti-codon, and T loops). Further hydrogen bonds mediate the characteristic L-shaped molecular structure. tRNAs have two regions of fundamental functional importance: the anti-codon, which is responsible for specific mRNA codon recognition, and the 3' end, to which the tRNAs corresponding amino acid is attached (by aminoacyl-tRNA synthetases). tRNAs cope with the degeneracy of the genetic code in two manners: having more than one tRNA (with a specific anti-codon) for a particular amino acid; and 'wobble' base-pairing, i.e. permitting non-standard base-pairing at the 3rd anti-codon position. Lineage: Eukaryota; Metazoa; Arthropoda; Insecta; Diptera; Culicidae. The record is from Rfam by way of RNAcentral.